This 1265-nucleotide long non-coding RNA is filed under the name Microcebus murinus (gray mouse lemur). RNAcentral's name for it is "lncRNA (ENSMICG00000048679.1)". Lineage: Eukaryota; Metazoa; Chordata; Mammalia; Primates; Cheirogaleidae. The record is from RNAcentral.
CGAGUGCAGAGCCUGGAGGCUGUCCCCUGCCCCGGCUGGGUCAAGCACUGGUCCCCAAGACCAAGACGUGCCCUGCCACUCCUUCCCUCACAACCUCUUAAUGGACCAGCUGCCCCUUCUGGGGGCCUGGACACACCCGACCCUUUCCAGGCAUCCCCCAAAUCCCCAAGGUUUCUGCACCCCCAGGCCCUGGAGCCAGCUCCCCUGGAGAUCUGACCAGUGGGCAAAGCAUGCAGGCACCCAGGACACUGGCUGCCGAAUGGGUGAGGAACACCAGUCCGGCACAUCUAGAACAUUCCAAUCCAGGCCUCUCCUGUUUUCCCAGAAUGAGGUGGGCAGGCACCUCUUCCAGUCUGAUGUUUCUGCACUCCCAUGCCAAUACUUUGCUGAAUGUUUGUCCAUUUCCACUGUAGAUGGCAGAGCAUCCCCCAAUACAGCCCCUGAAAUGCCGAGUGUUUGGACACUGAGGUCAUGUUUUAUAAAGAUUCUCUACAUUUCCCCGCCCAGAAUGCCAACAUCCUCUCCAGCAUUUCCUGUCACUGAGCCUGCAGCUUGGAUUAUCAAGCCACCCCUUGUCAGACAGAGGGUAAAUAUUCCAGAGAUAGAGCCCAGGCUUGUCAGCAGAACAGGGCGCUGGUGUGCUGCCUUGUCUGACCAUCGAUGUAGUCCGUGCUGGUGCCUGCCCGAAUGGCCUGCCCCAGUGGCACCUUUCCGACCUGCCACCAGCUGCCAGAGCCAUGGGAUCUCCCUGCACCCCUGGCUUAUUGGCAAACACCCUCACAUGGCAUCUGGCACGAGGCAGCCUUCGUCUCUGGCGUCACUGAGCUUUGCUCGCUGUGUUCUCGGACACGGUAAAGGAUAUGGUGGCUUUGAAGGAGAACACGCCCAUGGACAACGAUCAUUCCUGUCUGGAUAGGAUUCGAUUUUGAAAAGUUAUUGUAUGGAGUAGCCUAAAUGAAAGACUCUGUUCUGAGAACUCUGGGCUUGCUGACAGAAGUAAAACACAUGUCCACAUCCUUCCUCAGGGACCGGGACAGCCCUCUUCAAGGCCAGCACUCUGUGCUUGCUUGCAAAGCACUCAACUAUUCCUUUAUUCAACAGAACCAAAAUCAUUUUGAAACAGAGUAUGUUUGCAAAGAUUGAGUUUUAACCAAAAUAAAGGUAUAGUUUCUAUAAUUGUGGCAAAAUACAAGAGUAUAAAGACAAUAUUAAUCAGAAGGAGACACUAGUAAAGACCUCAGUUUCAACAGAAAGCACUCUACAAC